GUGUUAAUAAAUUUGGUGAAUCACGGUGAAAUUCCGUGGGAGUGCCGCUACUGUAAACCCAGAACCCACUAAAAC
Molecule: non-coding RNA, 75 nt
Filed under: Candidatus Microgenomatota
Lineage: Bacteria
Source: RNAcentral